GUGUAUACUGUUACUGUUGCUUAAAGACAAGUUUAACAGCUCUUUUGUCUUGUACUAAAACUCUUACAAAUCAAAUAAGUUGUGACCUAAUAUAUUUGCAUUUCAUGGAUUCAGGACUCAUCACAUGGACUAAAAUGCAAGCUGCAUCCUCUUAACAGUUCAACUUGGAAGGCAGACAGUCCAGCUAUAAGUCUAUGACUGUAGAUGUAACUCUUUCUAAUAAUAAUUUAUUACAGUUAUUAUUUCUUUUUAAAUUGCAUAAAUUAUAUCAUCGUUAAAGAUGACUGCACAAAGAUCUCGGUUUUGUGAAGAGAUGGGCAUCUUCAAUGAGAUCUUCACAACCGAUGGGUCAAACUCCUCUGAUCUCAACAGCACUGAAGUGGAAGCUAGUUUUAAAAUGGCCUCCUUGGUAGAUAUAAAUGUAAUCCUGUUAUGUUUUCCUCUAAACUCCUACGUGAUUUGGCUUAUAGUAACAGGAACAGGGAGUGGACUUGCAACAGAGUUCUUCAAUCUCAACCUUGCUGUCUGUGAGAUCUUCAUAUGUGUGCAAUCAGUCGUAUCUCUUCUCGAGUAUGAAUGGGAAGAUCUCUGGAUAGCUGUGGAGUUUUUAGAUGGACUCGCCGUCACUGGUCGUCCUCUGUUUCAGUGUCUGAUUUGUGUUGAGCGUUACCUGGCAGUAGUUCAUCCUGUAACAUUUCUGAAGUACAAACCUCUCAGAUAUAGAGUGAUCUGCUGUGUUAUUGUCUGGGUGGCAGGAUUUGUAUCCUGUGUGGUCAACAUGAUGACUUUAUUGUUGUUGCUCUGUACACACUAAAAAAUGCUGGGUUAUUUAAUCUACCCAACCGCUGGGUUAUGAAAUGCUCUACCCAUUAUGGGUUAUUUUUAUGGAAUUUGGGUUAUUUUGUGCAACUCAUGCGUUGAGUCAAAAUCCAUCAACCCAACUUAUAUCGGUUAACCCAGCACGUGGGUUGUUUGUGCUUCGAACCUCAUCAUCACCAGAGUCUACACACCGAGCGCUCGUCACAGCAGAGAACCUGACUGCUCAUUCAGCGAGGCCAAUAAAUAAUAAAAGGUAUGUGUACA
Molecule: long non-coding RNA, 1083 nt
Organism: Cyprinus carpio (common carp)
Lineage: Eukaryota; Metazoa; Chordata; Actinopteri; Cypriniformes; Cyprinidae
Source: Ensembl